UUGAGGUAAGCGGAAUGUGUAGUGUAGCGGUGAAAUGCUUAGAUAUUACACAGAACACCGAUUGCGAAGGCAGCUUACUAAACUGUUACUGACGCUGAUGCACGAAAGCGUGGGGAGCGAACAGGAUUAGAUACCCUGGUAGUCCACGCCGUAAACGAUGCUCACUCGCUGUAUGCGAUACACAGUAUGCGGCCAAGCGAAAGCAUUAAGUGAGCCACCUGGGGAGUACGAUCGCAAGGUUGAAACUCAAAGGAAUUGACGGGGGCCCGCACAAGCGGAGGAACAUGUGGUUUAAUUCGAUGAUACGCGAGGAACCUUACCUGGGCUUAAAUGGGGAGUGACAGCUGUCGAAAGAUGGUUUUCUUCGGACACUCUUCAAGGUGCUGCAUGGUUGUCGUCAGCUCGUGCCGUGAGGUGUCGGGUUAAGUCCCAUAACGAGCGCAACCCUUAUCGUUAGUUGCCAGCGGGUUAAGCCGGGGACUCUAGCGAGACUGCCACCGUAAGGUGUGAGGAAGGUGGGGAUGACGUCAAAUCAGCACGGCCCUUAUGUCCAGGGCUACACACGUGUUACAAUGGCCGAUACAAAGGGCAGCUACCAGGUGACUGGAUGCUAAUCUCUAAAGUCGGUCUCAGUUCGGAUCGAAGUCUGCAACCCGACUUCGUGAAGCUGGAUUCGCUAGUAAUCGCAUAUCAGCCAUGAUGCAGUGAAUACGUUCCCGGGCCUUGUACACACCGCCCGUCAAACAAUGGAAGCUGGGGGUACCUGAAGUCUGUAACCGCAAGGAGCGGCCUAGGGUAAAACUAGUAACUGGUGUUAAGUCGUAACAAGGUA
RNAcentral lists this ribosomal RNA (832 nucleotides) under uncultured bacterium. Its description in RNAcentral is "bacterial SSU rRNA". It matches the Rfam family "Bacterial small subunit ribosomal RNA", at positions 652 to 1498 of the family's 1533-position model. The record is from RNAcentral.